GACGAACGCUGGCGGCGUGCUUAACACAUGCAAGUCGAACGGAAAGGCCCUGCUUUUGUGGGGUGCUCGAGUGGCGAACGGGUGAGUAACACGUGAGUAACCUGCCCUUGACCUUGGGAUAACUUCAGGAAACUGGGGCUAAUACCGGAUAGGAGCUCCUGCUGCAUGGUGGGGGUUGGAAAGUUUCGGCGGUUGGGGAUGGACUCGCGGCUUAUCAGCUUGUUGGUGGGGUAGUGGCUUACCAAGGCUUUGACGGGUAGCCGGCCUGAGAGGGUGACCGGCCACAUUGGGACUGAGAUACGGCCCAGACUCCUACGGGAGGCAACAGUGGGGAAUAUUGCACAAUGGGCGGAAGCCUGAUGCAGCAACGCCGCGUGCGGGAUGACGGCCUUCGGGUUGUAAACCGCUUUCGCCUGUGACGAAGCGUGAGUGACGGUAAUGGGUAAAGAAGCACCGGCUAACUACGUG
Molecule: ribosomal RNA, 468 nt
Filed under: uncultured bacterium
Lineage: Bacteria
Description: partial 16S ribosomal RNA
Rfam family: Bacterial small subunit ribosomal RNA
Source: RNAcentral